AUCUGUAUAGUUUAAACAAAACGUUAAUUUUGUAAAUUAAAUAUAGAAUAUAUCUUACAGGUA
This 63-nucleotide transfer RNA is filed under the name Andrena camellia. RNAcentral describes it as "tRNA-Thr". Lineage: Eukaryota; Metazoa; Arthropoda; Insecta; Hymenoptera; Andrenidae. The record is from RNAcentral.